This 344-nucleotide ribosomal RNA is filed under the name uncultured eukaryote. RNAcentral's name for it is "bacterial SSU rRNA". It matches the Rfam family "Eukaryotic small subunit ribosomal RNA", at positions 621 to 957 of the family's 1831-position model. The record is from RNAcentral.
AUAAAAAGGAGCAAAAAGCUCGUAGUUGGAUUUCGGGCGCAGCCGGCGGUCCGCCGUUUCACGGUGUGCACUGCCGCGCGGCGUCUUUUCGAUGAGGACGCGUCCCGGUCCUUCACUGGGCUGGGCGCGGAGUCAUCACAGUUACUUUGAAAAAAUUAGAGUGUUCAAAGCGGGCUUACGCUUGAAUAUAUUAGCAUGGAAUAACACGGUAGGACUCCCAUCCUAUUUUGUUGGUCUUCGGGACGGGAGUAAUGAUUAAGAGGAACAGUUGGGGGCAUUCGUAUUUCAAUGUCAGAGGUGAAAUUCUUGGAUUUUUGAAAGACGAACUUCUGCGAAAGCAUUUG